GACGAACGCUGGCGGCGUGCUUAACACAUGCAAGUCGAACGGAAAGAGAUGAAAGAGCUUGCUCUUUUAUUAAUUUCAGUGGCAAACGGGUGAGUAACACGUAAACAACCUGCCUUAAGGAUGGGGAUAACAGACGGAAACGACUGCUAAUACCGAAUACGUUCUAAGCAUCGCAUGAUGCAUAGAAGAAAGGGUGGCCUCUACAAGAAAGCUAUCGCCUUAAGAGGGGUUUGCGACUGAUUAGGUAGUUGGUGAGGUAACGGCUCACCAAGCCGACGAUCAGUAGCCGGUCUGAGAGGAUGAACGGCCACACUGGAACUGAGACACGGUCCAGACUCCUACGGGAGGCAGCAGUGGGGAAUCUUCCGCAAUGGACGAAAGUCUGACGGAGCAACGCCGCGUGAACGAAGAAGGUCUUCGGAUUGUAAAGUUCUGUGAUUCGGGACGAAAGGGUAAAUAGUGAAUAACUAUAGACAUUGACGGUACC
Molecule: ribosomal RNA, 487 nt
Filed under: Dialister sp. oral taxon 502
Lineage: Bacteria; Bacillati; Bacillota; Negativicutes; Veillonellales; Veillonellaceae
Description: bacterial SSU rRNA
Rfam family: Bacterial small subunit ribosomal RNA
Source: RNAcentral